UUUUGCUGAUAGGACAAACAACACAAAGAUAGAUCAAUUAAAAGAAGAAAUACAAGAAUCAAGGGAAAAAGAAAUUGCUAGCAACAAUUAGAAUCCACUAAACUAAACUUUAUUUCUUCAAAUUAUUCUUUCUUUAACUCCAAUUUCAACGACUCUAUUUAUAAACUUAACUUAGGCCAUGUUUGGUUCGUUGCUUGUCUCAUUCUUUUAAUUCUUGUCGAUUCUAGCAAAGAAUGUGUGAUAUAAGUGUGUGGAUAUUCAUUUCUUGUCACAGAAUUCAUUCUUCCCAGAUUGAAAUUUGAGCUUCGGCAAAAAUUUGUGGCACGAAAAAUUUUCGUACCCUACCAAUUCUUUUUUUUUUUCGUUCGAGUUCGAAUCUCUCGACUUUCACUGAACCCUCGCUCUCUGUACAAGGUAACCAUGAGAUCGAAAUAAGAAAACAUAUGUCAUUUUUCCCCACGACAAGAGAAAGAAGAAAUAAGAAAAAUGAUCAUUUGACUGCUUAACGAUGAUCAAGCAAAGCAUAGAAGAAAGGGAAUCGGGGAGCACCUUUUACAUUUGUUUGUCUGUCUAUUUUCCUAGUUCUUAAAUUCUUCUCUAAUUUCUUUUGAUGUAGGACAUUGCCCUCGCCGACUUGGCUCCCACUCACCCAAUAAGGCUUGGGCUUGCACCCAAUAAAGCAGCCUUCAUUUUAGCGACCUGUACAAAAGCUUGUGGAAAGCAAAUUUUGGUGGAACCCCAAAUGACAAAAGG
This is a long non-coding RNA of Nelumbo nucifera (sacred lotus), 753 nucleotides long. RefSeq lists it as uncharacterized. Lineage: Eukaryota; Viridiplantae; Streptophyta; Magnoliopsida; Proteales; Nelumbonaceae. The record is from RefSeq and is a predicted model, not a curated record.